AAAAGAGUUCGAUUAAGUAAGGCAAUCCGAAAACUGUUUCGGGAUCUGAUCAUCGAAUGCUUACGGUGAAGAGAGAGUUUAAGCCCCAUACAACAUCUUUCAGCUUACGAGUGGCUGAAAAUAUCGUACCAGUUAUAAGUAGGCUAUGAUUAAUACAACAUGAGGCACUUAUGAGAGGUUACAUCAAGGAUUUCCAUCAGGGUUGAUAAAAUUUUAAAGGAAGUCAAUGACGAUCAAGGGGUCCGAAUAUACACUGGCGACUAAUCAGCAAUAUCAAGAUCCCAUUGAUUACGGAUAAAAUUUAUUAACAAAAUUGAAACUUAUUGAUAUGAAGUUACAUAAUGUAGUAAAGAAGAAAUCACAUGAUAUAAAUAUAAGGGAAAAAGUACACUAAAAUUA
Long non-coding RNA from Ceratina calcarata, 399 nucleotides. RefSeq lists it as uncharacterized. Lineage: Eukaryota; Metazoa; Arthropoda; Insecta; Hymenoptera; Apidae. The record is from RefSeq and is a predicted model, not a curated record. The transcript is spliced from 3 exons.